ACGUAAUAGAUACCCAGGUAGUCCACGCCGUAAACGAUGAGUGCUAAGUGUUAGAGGGUUUCCGCCCUUUAGUGCUGAAAGUUAAACGCAUUAAGCACUCCGCCUGGGGAGUACGGCCGCAAGGCUGAAACUCAAAGGAAUUGACGGGGGCCCGCACAAGCGGUGGAGCAUGUGGUUUAAAUUCGAAGCAACGCGAAGAACCUUACCAGGUCUUGACAUCCUCUGAAAACCCUAGAGAUAGGGCUUCUCCUUCGGGAGCAGAGUGACAGGUGGUGCAUGGUUGUCGUCAGCUCGUGUCGUGAGAUGUUGGGUUAAGUCCCGCAACGAGCGCAACCCUUGAUCUUAGUUGCCAUCAUUAAGUUGGGCACUCUAAGGUGACUGCCGGUGACAAACCGGAGGAAGGUGGGGAUGACGUCAAAUCAUCAUGCCCCUUAUGACCUGGGCUACACACGUGCUACAAUGGACGGUACAAAGAGCUGCAAGACCGCGAGGUGGAGCUAAUCUCAUAAAACCGUUCUCAGUUCGGAUUGUAGGCUGC
Molecule: ribosomal RNA, 538 nt
Filed under: uncultured bacterium
Lineage: Bacteria
Description: bacterial SSU rRNA
Rfam family: Bacterial small subunit ribosomal RNA
Source: RNAcentral